Molecule: long non-coding RNA, 341 nt
Filed under: Arabidopsis lyrata
Lineage: Eukaryota; Viridiplantae; Streptophyta; Magnoliopsida; Brassicales; Brassicaceae
Description: long non-coding RNA (ALYR_LNC002075)
Source: RNAcentral
AAGAGGGAGAUUUCACGGUGAGGAGCGAGAGAGGAAAGUGGUUAGAUCUGGAGACUGGAGAUUCUGGAAGUUUCUCGGGAUCGGUUUCGAUGGGGGAGGUAGUCUCCGAUCCGGCGGAGCCAAACCACCGUCGAAGGUCUCCUUGUCUACUCCCUACUGCUUUUCUUACUCAUGACUGACCAAGAAAUCUCUUCGAUAUAGAAAAACUCGGUUCUCUUCCUCCUUCUCAAAACAGUUCUACGGUGGCGGGUUGGCAACGGAUCUUGGAUCACCAUCUCCGUUCGGCUAGCGUCGCCCUGGCUCACCGGAGGUCCUGUUCCGGCGAGAAUCUGCAGUCUGUG